This is a long non-coding RNA of Mauremys reevesii (Reeves's turtle), 462 nucleotides long. RefSeq lists it as uncharacterized. The transcript is spliced from 5 exons. NCBI's taxonomy places the organism in Eukaryota, Metazoa, Chordata, Testudines, Geoemydidae. The record is from RefSeq and is a predicted model, not a curated record.
CAGGGGUGUGUGCAAGGAGCAGGGAGUGAGAAGAUGUGUUGCUGGAGGAGUGAAGAGUACAAGUGUGAUCAGGCUUCAGGAGGAAGAUCCUGCGGAGCCUGUGAUCAGUGGAACAGAUAGGAAACAGCCUUCUUAAAACAGAUUAAAGCCCUUGCAUGACAUUCUUUGAUGAACUACAAUGUGAAUACCAGACCCAGAGGGAUUCCUGUGACCCAUAUGCACUCCGUGUCCCCUCUGCCAGUUGGCAUCAAGAGUGUCUCUGUGCUGCUUUUCCUUGCCCUCUGGGAAGGUCGUCUCCUUCAGUCCAGGAAACAACAACUCUCUCUUCACCUCUUCCUCAUUGCCCACAUGCCGGGACUGAACUGUGAUUUGCAGAACAUUGGCUUUGUACCAUUCUCUGUGCCACACCUACCUCCCCUGGAGCCACACGGGGCAGAGAACUGAAUCUCAGCCUCUCGCAGG